RNAcentral lists this long non-coding RNA (203 nucleotides) under Manihot esculenta (cassava). RNAcentral describes it as "long non-coding RNA (MESC_LNC011487)". The record is from RNAcentral. Lineage: Eukaryota; Viridiplantae; Streptophyta; Magnoliopsida; Malpighiales; Euphorbiaceae.
GAAGGUUAUACUCGCUCCUUUAUCACCUCAAGAGGUAUAUGCUGAUCAAAUAAAGAUGCUGGAGAGGGAGAGGGAGGCUUCGGCCUUGGCUACAAAGGGGAGUGAGAGCUUGAGUUCUGCAGUAAAAAUGAGAGAAAAGUGUGAGUCUGAGGGUAAAGAGGCUGGAAAAGAAUCAAGACCAAUAAAUGGCCCAUUGGUGAGAG